GAUGAAGAACGUAGUGAAAUGCGAUACGUAAUGUGAAUUGCAGAAUUCAGUGAAUCAUCGAGUCUUUGAACGCACAUUGCGCCCCCUGGUAUUCCGGGGGGCAUGCCUGUCCGAGCGUCAUUGCUGCCCUCAAGCACGGCUUGUGUGUUGGGCCCCGUCCCCUCCCCCGGGGACGGGCCCGAAAGGCAGCGGCGGCACCGCGUCCGAUCCUCGAGCGUAUGGGGCUUUGUCACCCGCUCUGUAGGCCCGGCCGGCGCCAGCCGACACCCAACUUUUAUUUCUAAGGUUGACCUCGGAUCAGGUAGGGAUACCCGCUGAACUUAAGCAUAUCAAUAAGCGGAGGA
Molecule: unclassified non-coding RNA, 344 nt
Filed under: soil metagenome
Description: partial contains 5.8S ribosomal RNA, internal transcribed spacer 2, and large subunit ribosomal RNA
Rfam family: 5.8S ribosomal RNA (bases 1-120)
Source: RNAcentral